This 22-nucleotide transfer RNA is filed under the name Chimonocalamus pallens. RNAcentral describes it as "partial tRNA-Cys". RNAcentral also lists the same sequence under 18 other names. The record is from RNAcentral. Lineage: Eukaryota; Viridiplantae; Streptophyta; Magnoliopsida; Poales; Poaceae.
CUUACCGCUUGGCCAUGCCGCC